GACGAACGCUGGCGGCGUGCUUAACACAUGCAAGUCGAACGGAAAGGCCUGCUUUCCCUUGUGGAUUGCGGGUACUCGAGUGGCGAACGGGUGAGUAACACGUGAGUGAUCUGCCCCCAACUUGGGUAUAAGCCUGGGAAACUGGGUCUAAUUCCCGAUAGGACUGCAGGGUGGUGCCUGUGGUGGAAAACGAUUUACUAGUGGUUGGGGAUGAGCUCGCGGCCUAUCAGCUUGUUGGUGGGGUAAUGGCCUACCAAGGCGGCGACGGGUAGCCGGCCUGGGGGGGUGGACGGCCACAUUGGGACUGAGAUACGGCCAAGACUCCUACGGGAGGCAGCAGUGGGGAAUAGUGCACAAUGGGCGGAAGCCUGAUGCAGCGACGCCGCGUGGGGGAUGACGGCCUUCGGGUUGUAAACUCCUUUCGACCGCGAGGAAGCCACCUGGUUGGAAGGGUGGUGACGGUAGUGGUAGAAGAAGCACCGGCUAACUACGUG
RNAcentral lists this ribosomal RNA (494 nucleotides) under uncultured bacterium. RNAcentral describes it as "partial 16S ribosomal RNA". It matches the Rfam family "Bacterial small subunit ribosomal RNA", at positions 28 to 507 of the family's 1533-position model. The record is from RNAcentral.